Molecule: small RNA, 126 nt
Filed under: Caenorhabditis elegans
Lineage: Eukaryota; Metazoa; Nematoda; Chromadorea; Rhabditida; Rhabditidae
Description: Unclassified non-coding RNA ZK418.14
Source: RNAcentral
GUGAGAUUUUUGAAAUAAGAGACAUGUGAUAGCAAGAUCAGAAAGUAAGAGAUAAAUUGAAAUUACAUGUUAGAAUAUUUAAAUAAGACCAAGUGCUUGCUCGACAGUUUUCGACUCUCCAGGCUG